RNAcentral lists this ribosomal RNA (253 nucleotides) under uncultured bacterium. Its description in RNAcentral is "partial 16S ribosomal RNA". It matches the Rfam family "Bacterial small subunit ribosomal RNA", at positions 524 to 776 of the family's 1533-position model. The record is from RNAcentral.
UACGUAGGGUGCGAGCGUUAAUCGGAAUUACUGGGCGUAAAGCGUGCGCAGGCGGCUUCGCAAGUCAGACGUGAAAUCCCCGGGCUUAACCUGGGAAUGGCGUUUGAAACUACGGAGCUGGAGUGUGGCAGAGGGAGGUAGAAUUCCACGUGUAGCGGUGAAAUGCGUAGAUAUCGUUUGGAACGCCAAUGGUGAAAACAGGUCGCUGGGGAUGAGCUGACGCUGAGACACGAAAGCCAGGGGAGCGAACGGG